UUCAGAUUCUCUCUAAGAAAUUAUUCAUGGUAUUAAAGCAAUUGAAUAAAUAAUGUUUGAUUCUACACUAAUAAAUCAAUUCUGGUGUCACUGAUAACAAUGGAGACGAAUGAUGUACCAACAGUUUCAACUGCAGUAUAAGAAACAAUUGAAGCAAGGAAACCAUCCCUUGUAUCUUCAGCCAUCACAUACACAUGGUAGUGUUUUAACGACUGUUUAGCUCACCAGAGCAGAAAACUAUUCGCUAUGGAGUAGAUUCAUGAUGAUCAAUCUCAGGGCAAAAAGUAAGCUAGGUUUUGUGAUUGGCAUAUGUGAAAGAAAUAGUUACGGACCAGAUCUACAAGAACAAUGGGAGAAAUGUAAUACCUUUGUUUUAGCAUGGAUCAUGAACACAGUUUCAAAGGAAUUGUUGAGUGGUAUUGUUUAUGCUUUAGAUGCUUCAAUGGUGUGGGCAGAUUUGCAAGAAAGAUUUGAUAAGGUUGAUGGAUCGAGUAUCUACCAGUUUCAUCGAGAUAUUUGUACAAUCUAUCAAGGUAAUUCAUUAGUUUCAGCUUAUUUUACCAAAUUGAGAUUGAUGUGGGAUGAAUUUGAUGUUAUCGUACCACCACCAUCAUGGAAUUGUGAUAGAUCUAGAUCUUAUGUGGAUCAUAUUCAAUACUUGCGUUUAUCCUCUUUUCUGAUAGGGCUGAACGACAUGUAUGGACAUGUACGAAGCCAAAUACUAAUGAUGAGUCCUUUUCCAAGUGUUGGCAAAGCCUAUGUUAUGAUCAUAUCAGACAAGAGCCAGAGAGUUAAUUUAGGGAUGCGCACUGGUGGAGAUAUAAUAGAAGCCACGACAUUAUAUGUAGGAAGGGGAAAUUAUUCUAGAAACACAAGAGUUGAGUAUAAUCCUAGAAGCAAUGAUACAGACAAAACUGGAGUAGGAAUUAAGAAAGUGAACUGGAAUCUAUUUUGUGAUCACUGCGAAUGUGGCUGGAAUCUAUUCUGUGAUCACUGCGAAAUGUAUAGCCACACAGAGAAAAAUUGUUUUCGAAUAAUUUGAUAUCCUGAUGAUCGGAAGUUGAAGAAGAAAGUGUCAGGACAGGGUGGAGAGCAAGGGAACAAUAACCAGUUUAGAGGAAGGAAUUUGAGCAAAGGAAAAUAGUUGUUAAUAAUGCGCAAUUGGAUAAGAUUUCUGAAGAAUCAAGAGAUGAUGCAUUUGGGGCAGUCAAUGCAAGACAACCAGGUGCACAAGGAAAUGCUUAUGAUUUCAAUUCUGUUCGUGCUAACUUGCGGGCUUUUGCUGCACGAUCUGACUACAAUCCUAACCAAUACCAAAAGAUAAUGAAAUUGCUCAAUGAAGAGGACAAAACUGACGAAAUGGUGAACAUGACAGGACCUCUCUAAUAGAGAGGUGAAGGGGACUGGUAAGGAGAUAGGAGGUUUGUAUUAUCUUCCAAGUGCAUUUUCUUCUGGACAGUCAGCUAGUGGGGAUAAUAAGGUACUGAUGACAAAGACAAGAGGCACAGAUUGCAUGCUUUGCCACAACAGGAUGGGUCAUCCUUCUAUCAAGGUGUUGAAGCGAUUAACAUUAGUAAAUAAAGAUUUUGAUGUAACAGAAUGUGGUAGUUGUUCAGUAUGUCCUUAGGCAAAAGUCUAGACUUUCUUUCCAUUUGUUGUGUCAAAGUCAAGUGAUGUGUUUGGUCUUAUUCAUCUGGACCAUAUAGAAUUGUUACACAUGAUGAUUUUAGAUUCUUUUUGAAAAUUGUAGAUGAUAAGUCAAGGAUGACUUGGCUAUUUUUACUGAAAUUCAAGAGUGAUGUUUUUGUUGUGAUGAA
Long non-coding RNA from Solanum lycopersicum (tomato), 1817 nucleotides. RefSeq lists it as uncharacterized. The record is from RefSeq and is a predicted model, not a curated record. NCBI's taxonomy places the organism in Eukaryota, Viridiplantae, Streptophyta, Magnoliopsida, Solanales, Solanaceae.